Long non-coding RNA from Carassius auratus (goldfish), 4346 nucleotides. RefSeq lists it as uncharacterized. The transcript is spliced from 2 exons. The record is from RefSeq and is a predicted model, not a curated record. Lineage: Eukaryota; Metazoa; Chordata; Actinopteri; Cypriniformes; Cyprinidae.
CCGGUAUUUGGUACCAACGCAGAGAAGUCCCGAAUUUCAGAUGCUAAAAGGGUUGGAUAGGCAAGAGUGACAGAGCACAGAAUGAGAGUGUGUGACAGCAAGAGGAAGGGGAGAGAAAGGAGGGGAGACCGAGCUGAAGAGUGAUUUUUUUUUAAGUAAAAGGAGAGAGCGAGAGAACACGAAAGAGGGAGGGGGGAAGCAGAUUUCUCCAAGCAUCUCUUGAAUGAAAGGUGUAAGGCAUUCAAGCAAAGAAUAAAAAAAAAUAAACAACGGAGAGAAGCUUAAAAAAAUAUCUGAAUGAGCGUGGACAAAAGGAAGGGCUGGUGAUACAUACGGAGACUGGAAUACUGACACAGAAAGAGCGAGAGAAAGCCAGAGGGAGAGGGAGAAAGAGCGAGAGCGAAGGGGAGGGACGUUGGGGACUGAGAUUGUUGUCUGCGUAACGCACACGGCUCAAGGAGAUGCUGUUGUAGACUUGCUCUUCCUCCUUUUUCUCUCUCCACCUCUCAAUUUCUCUUUUCUCCUCAUUUACGGUAAUGGGGAAGUCAGACGGUUGGUCAGCUGGCCCUCAUGUUGCCGCAAGCCCAAAUAUGCCUCUCCUGUGAUGAGCCCACAGCAUGCUGGAUCUCCCCCAGGAUCUCCCACGCCGUAGGAUAAGCACCCUGGAGACAGAGGCGGGGGGGUCAGAAUGGGGACAACCACAGUCAGUAUAGAGGAGGUUCGGGCGCAAGAGGGUAAAGAGGAACAAGAGGAGUCCAUCUUGGCCCUGCUGGGAAUCAUUGGCACCUUUUUGAACCUCUUCGUCAUCGUGUUUGUUUACAUCUACACUACUCUGUGAGAAGGAUCCACGUGGGGUGAGAGCAGGUGGAGGUGAGGGGCAAAGAUAUGACAGAAGGGUUGACACCUCACAGAGAAGAAUUUGGAAGAUGACACUUGGCCGCCCAGGAAGUGACAUUUGCUCUUGAGCUCUGACCCUUUACGUAUAUAUAUAUAAAUCUCAAUGUGAUGGAUGCCUGUUUAACACCGAUUUCAGGACACACUGAGAGCGAUUCUUGGAUUUGUGCUCUUGCAGGACGUGGUCAUGAGACAAGGGACCUUGAGUUUCCCCGGUGGUGGGAAUUACAUCGAGCACUGCCUGUCUUCAAUUGCAAAGACACGUACGCAGAAAGAACCUAUUGGUCACAAGAACUUCACAGGCUGACCGAAUGACUCCUUCAGCACUUAAUCCACCAAUAGAAAGAUUCAUGCAAUAAAAAGGAAAAAUUGGAAUUCUGAAAUAUUUUUCUAUUGAGAACAAAAGAGAGAAUGAGACACUCCGGGACCCAUCUGCAGGUUCGAAAAGCUGGAGCUUGUGGGAACAGGCAGUUCGGUGACAUUUGGACACUUUUUCACUACAGUUCCUCCUCCUUUCUGACUGGUGGCGGGAAGAUAAACAGACAAAUAUGAGUGUGCGUGCGUGUUUUCUGUCUGAUUUGAGUGCAGUGUCAGACACGUUGUUUCGGUGCAAUGGAAAACGCUUUUGUAUCAAUACAUGAAUACAUACUAGAUGUACUGUGCCAUAGGGGAUCUAAUCAAUAAAAUGAUAUUCUAUGGAUUGGGAUGUUGUGAUUGGCAUGCAUGUGUGAGAAAAAUGCUUUGGGUGUAUCGGAUGGUCUUGUUUCAACAAGACUAGAGUUGACCAAUCACGUAUGUGCUGUCCUGCACGUCUUUGGGUGUGAGUCAUGCAUUUGGGUUUUUGAGUGUUAGUAGAGCUCAACGCACCAUAAAUACUGUCAGGUAAAAUAACAAACAGUUUAUUAUUAAGGGAGGAGGAGGUUGCUGCAGAGAUGGUUACUAAGCUUCGAUAUUUUCAUCUAUCUUUCCCAGUGGUUAUGAAGGUGUUUUUAAGCCCUUUGAGUAUGCAGAGGUCAGUUUCCUGUCACAUGUGAUAGUGAGUGUUAGAAAUGGCUGAUGCAUGUGAAUGUACUCUAAACAGCCUCCAACUCACACACACCAACCAACACCAACAAGCCUGAAAAUGUGAUUUUUUUGGCCAAAAAAAGGGUUGUUUCUCUGUGUGAGUGUGUUUGCCCUCUAUCUGAGUGUUCCGAUACGUCACGCUGAAAUGUGCUCCAAAAUAUCUGCCUGCGGAAAUGUUAGCAGGGCUUUACGCUUAGUCUCAGGUCCCUCAAUAAAUUCCAAAGCCACAGGGCACUGCUGUAAUAAAGUCCUACGCUGUAAAUCAGCAUGUACCUGCAGGGCUUAUCAUCAAAAACAAAUCCCCACUACAACGCCUCUGUGUAAACUAGCUCUCAGACCAGAGGGAAACCUCUCUACCUGCACUCAGAUCAGUGUGAACACUUCACACCGGCUCUCAGAUUCAUUUAAACCAUCUAAACAAGUAAUUAGAUUGUGUUUGCAUACAGUUUAAAAGGUCAUUUUCACUCAAUUAUUAGCCUUUUUGUCAUAUAAAUGACUGACUGAAAUUGUACCAUUCUGUUUUUCAAAUUAAUCAGACUACGAUUGCCUUUUGCACCAAAAGAUUGAUGUGACAUGUAUUCACCUCUUUAAAUAUUGAAUUAUGCAUUGGACAAAGAGAUAAAGACCACAAAAAAACCUGCUGUUGCUUAAUUAUAAAUGUAGGCUACAUGUAAACACCCAUAGAGAAGAGACCUUAUAACAAGUCUAAAAUCUGUGUAAACCCUCUCUCAAGAUUAAAUGUAACCCUUUACACCUGCAAGAAGCACCCAGUAUAGCCAUCUUCGCCAAUCCUAAGAGCUUAAUCAAACCUCAGAGUAAUAUAAAUAACGCACUUCCAGCAUUUUGAUGGACAUGGCCUCCUGACACACACAUAUGAAUAAGGAAAUUAUGAUUCAGAUCAGAUAGAGCUUGCAGGCGUAAUGCAGGGGGAUGUGCGUGUUUCCUGGGGUCAACAGUCCUGUGUAAGCCGCCCACGUGAGGUUUACACGUGACACGAUGGUCAAAGACAUAUGAAUCACUGCUUUAUUCUUAUAUCUGCUCUUCACAGGCCAAUAUAUCAACACAGAGACACACAGACUAAACACAAAACAUUACCUUCACCACCUUUCAUACAGGAGCUGUUCCAAACCCCAGUAAACUGCUUCUCGCCCCACAUAAAUAGCAUCCUUACCAUCAUGAUGUUUCAUUGACUUCUACACAGGUUACAACUCAAACAAAUUCUAAUAAGCAUAAUUCAAUCGCCCACCAUCCAUUUUUUUUUGGGGUGCAUCUCAAUGCAUUCUGGGACUGCCUUUUCUGCAAAGGGUAUAAUCAACAGCUCUUUCGGAUUUAGCUAAAACGAUAAUGGCAUAAUUAAAGUGCCUACCUAAAUGUGUAAAACGUCUCCAUGUGCAGACCACUAGAUAAAUAAAGAGAUGGAGAGAACAGAGAGCCAUACUGAAGGGGUGGGAGAAGAGAUGUAGAGAACACAGUGAUAAUUUCUGUUUACACUCAGGGAAAAGACUCUAGCACCUCUAAAACCUGCCCUACUUAAUGACUGCACCACGUCAGCACUGUUUCAAACACACGCUUUACAGCAUAUGUCAGGGGUGCCGUGUGUAGGCGAGUGUGAGAUCCCUGUAAUGAAAACAGCUUUCAAGGGACUAAGAAGUAAACGGAAAUAAACACAACAUAGUGAGCAACUGCAUGUCCUACAGACCCACAUUGAAACAAACGCUUGAUCUUUUGAACAUAAAAAUAAUGCUAAACAGUGAUGAUUUCUUAGCUAGCAUUUUUAAAUGAAUGGAUACAUAAUAGGAAUGUACUGUACCAACAGUAAGAUUUUAGCUGAAGUUUGCAUUUUACGGCCGGAGACAAUUUUUGAAUGCUAUACUAGUUUAUUUAGAUUAAAAAUGAAAAACACUAAUCAAUUAAAAAAAAAAAAAUUAGACAUUACAACAUUAGAAAGUACAGGAUGAAUUUGGACCCAUACAAUGAAAGUCAAUUAGUAAAAUCAAAGUCAGCAGAAAAAAAAUACUAUGUUUACCAAUGUUAUUAAAUUAUUAGUGUUAAAUAUUACAUUUAAGUGAGUGUUAGAUUCUGGAAAAGGUCAUUAUAUAUAUAUAAUUUAUUUUUUAAUUUAUUAUUAUUAUAAAAAAAAAUUUCAAUCACCUUUGCAUAGUUGACAGAGACUGCUCAUUUCUCCUUUGUCUCCUGAAAGAUGCAUUUUAUUAAAUGCUGUUUUCUUAAAUAGUUCCUAUUGCUAUUUUUGCUGUCUAGUUCCAAACCAAAGUGUACAGGUUCAAUUUCACACACUCCCAGCACCUCACAACAACCUCUCCUCCGAUGUAUCAUAGUACUAUCCAAUUCUACCCUCAGAAUAUUCAUAUAAAUCAAAUGCAAAAAAA